This 358-nucleotide unclassified non-coding RNA is filed under the name soil metagenome. Its description in RNAcentral is "partial contains 5.8S ribosomal RNA, internal transcribed spacer 2, and large subunit ribosomal RNA". The stretch from base 1 to 120 matches the Rfam family "5.8S ribosomal RNA", at positions 35 to 154 of the family's 154-position model. The record is from RNAcentral.
GAUGAAGAACGCAGUGAAAUGCGUUAAGUAAUGUGAAUUGCAGAAUUCAGUGAAUCAUCGAAUCUUUGAACGCACAUUGCGCCCGUCAGUAUUCUGGCGGGCAUGCCUGUUCGAGCGUCAUUACGCCCCUCAAGUCCCCUGUGGACUUGGUGUUGGGGAUCGGCGAGGCUGGUUUUCCAGCACAGCCGUCCCUUAAAUUAAUUGGCGGUCUCGCCGUGGCCCUCCUCUGCGCAGUAGUAAAACACUCGCAACAGGAGCCCGGCGCGGUCCACUGCCGUAAAACCCCCCAACUUUUUAUAGUUGACCUCGAAUCAGGUAGGACUACCCGCUGAACUUAAGCAUAUCAAUAAGCGGAGGA